Molecule: transfer RNA, 86 nt
Filed under: Candidatus Omnitrophota bacterium
Lineage: Bacteria; Pseudomonadati; Candidatus Omnitrophota
Description: tRNA-Ser
Rfam family: tRNA
About the family: Transfer RNA (tRNA) molecules are approximately 80 nucleotides in length.
Source: RNAcentral
GGAGGGGUCGCAUAGCGGCCGAGUGCGCACGCUUGGAAAGCGUGUAUCCUCAAAAGGGAUCGUGGGUUCAAAUCCCACCCCCUCCG